GGCGAGAUGGCCGAGAGGUCUAAGGCGUCAGACUGGGGAUCUGAUCAAGGCGUGGAUUCAAAUCCCACUUUUCUCA
RNAcentral lists this transfer RNA (76 nucleotides) under Heterobasidion irregulare TC 32-1. It matches the Rfam family "tRNA". Rfam says of the family: Transfer RNA (tRNA) molecules are approximately 80 nucleotides in length. Their secondary structure includes four short double-helical elements and three loops (D, anti-codon, and T loops). Further hydrogen bonds mediate the characteristic L-shaped molecular structure. tRNAs have two regions of fundamental functional importance: the anti-codon, which is responsible for specific mRNA codon recognition, and the 3' end, to which the tRNAs corresponding amino acid is attached (by aminoacyl-tRNA synthetases). tRNAs cope with the degeneracy of the genetic code in two manners: having more than one tRNA (with a specific anti-codon) for a particular amino acid; and 'wobble' base-pairing, i.e. permitting non-standard base-pairing at the 3rd anti-codon position. The record is from Rfam by way of RNAcentral. Lineage: Eukaryota; Fungi; Basidiomycota; Agaricomycetes; Russulales; Bondarzewiaceae.